RNAcentral lists this long non-coding RNA (984 nucleotides) under Anser brachyrhynchus (Pink-footed goose). Its description in RNAcentral is "lncRNA (ENSABRG00000022971.1)". Lineage: Eukaryota; Metazoa; Chordata; Aves; Anseriformes; Anatidae. The record is from RNAcentral.
UGCCGCGCCGAGCGCCGCGCGCCCCUUAUAUAGGCCCGCGGGCCCCGCCCCCGGCCCGGCCACGCCCCUCGGGGCGGACACGCCCCCUCGCCGAGGCCACGCCCACAGCGGCACGGCCCCGCCCGGCCUGUGGAAGUGGAGAUCCCCCUUUUUCCCUUUUUUCCCUUUUUUCCCUUUUUUCCCCCUUUUCCCCUUUUUUCCCCUUUUUUCCCCUUUUUUUCUUUUCUUUUUUUUCUUUUCCUUUCCUUUUCUUUUUCUUUUUUCUCUUUUUUUUGGGGGGGGGCGAGUUUGUUUUUUUUGUUGUUGUUGUGUUUGUUUUUUUUUUAAAGGGAAUUUUUCAAGGAGAUUUAGCGCGCAGCCUGCACGCCGAACAGGCAAGCGGACAAACAAGAGACAAGGGGCCGCCCCUAUCGCGCCGCGGGAUGGCCGCACGUUUGGGGGGCGGCUUCCCUUUCCCCGCAGCCUGCCGCCCCUAAAUCGGCUCUGCGGCCCCGUGCAGCGUGCAGCACCACCCUCCUGUCCUGCAGCCCCACAAGAGCAGCUGCAGACUCCUCGUUUCCCAAAGACCUGACUUCAGCACAGCCCUGCAGCAUCGGGGCUGCGGCAGCACCCCCUGCCCCUCCCAGGGAACCAGCCCCCAGGCUGACAUCCCCUGCUCGCAGAACAUGCACAAAGCUGUGCAAAGGCGUUUUGCCUCAGCUACACAGUCCUCACAGUCCCAGUGCUGUGUGUGUGAGAUGGAAGCACCAGCACAGGAGCUGGGUGAGGAACGCCACCGCGCCACUUGGGACAGCAUUGGCUGGGCCUCUGCUCUCACCUCGCCUCGAUGCUGUGCCUUCUCUGAAGCACCCAGGAUUGAUAUGUGUCUGUGAAGAGCCCAGAGGUGCCUGGCUACAGGUGAACACAGUCAGGAGCACAGUGCUGGGCAAGCUGAAGGUUAGAGAGGAGAAAAAUUUGUACCACCUCCAAUGUUCGCAUUUUUGA